GUUGUUGGGUAGGGGAGCGUUCUGUAAGCCGUUGAAGGUGGCCUGUGAGGGUUGCUGGAGGUAUCAGAAGUGCGAAUGCUGACAUAAGUAACGAUAAUGCGGGUGAAAAACCCGCACGCCGGAAGACCAAGGGUUCCUGUCCAACGUUAAUCGGGGCAGGGUGAGUCGACCCCUAAGGCGAGGCUGAAAAGCGUAGUCGAUGGGAAACAGGUUAAUAUUCCUGUACUCGGUGUUACUGCGAAGGGGGGACGGAGAAAGCUAGGUUAUCCGGGCGACGGUUGUCCCGGUUUAAGCGUGAAGGUGGGUGACUUAGGUAAAUCCGGGUCAUCGUUAACACUGAGGCGUGAUGACGAGUCACUACGGUGAUGAAGUAACCAAUGCUACGCUUCCAGGAAAAGCCUCUAAGCUCCAGGUAACAUCAAAUCGUACCCCAAACCGACACAGGUGGUCAGGUAGAGAAUACUCAGGCGCUUGAGAGAACUCGGGUGAAGGAACUAGGCAAAAUGGUGCCGUAACUUCGGGAGAAGGCACGCUGGCGCGUAGGUGAAGUCCCUUGCGGAUGGAGCUGAAGCCAGUCGCAGAUACCAGCUGGCUGCAACUGUUUAAUAAAAACACAGCACUGUGCAAACACGAAAGUGGACGUAUACGGUGUGACGCCUGCCCGGUGCCGGAAGGUUAAUUGAUGGGGUCAGCCGCAAGGCGAAGCUCUUGAUCGAAGCCCCGGUAAACGGCGGCCGUAACUAUAACGGUCCUAAGGUAGCGAAAUUCCUUGUCGGGUAAGUUCCGACCUGCACGAAUGGCGUAAUGAUGGCCAGGCUGUCUCCACCCGAGACUCAGUGAAAUUGAACUCGCUGUGAAGAUGCAGUGUACCCGCGGCAAGACGGAAAGACCCCGUGAACCUUUACUAUAGCUUGACACUGAACCUUGAGCCUUGAUGUGUAGGAUAGGUGGGAGGCUUUGAAGCGUGGACGCCAGUCUGCGUGGAGCCAACCUUGAAAUACCACCCUUUAAUGUUUGAUGUUCUAACGUAGGCCCGUAAUCCGGGUUGCGGACAGUGUCUGGUGGGUAGUUUGACUGGGGCGGUCUCCUCCCAAAGCGUAACGGAGGAGCACGAAGGUUAGCUAAUCCUGGUCGGACAUCAGGAGGUUAGUGCAAAGGCAUAAGCUAGCUUGACUGCGAGAGUGACAGCUCGAGCAGGUGCGAAAGCAGGUCUUAGUGAUCCGGUGGUUCUGAAUGGAAGGGCCAUCGCUCAACGGAUAAAAGGUACUCCGGGGAUAACAGGCUGAUACCGCCCAAGAGUUCAUAUCGACGGCGGUGUUUGGCACCUCGAUGUCGGCUCAUCACAUCCUGGGGCUGAAGUAGGUCCCAAGGGUAUGGCUGUUCGCCAUUUAAAGUGGUACGCGAGCUGGGUUUAGAACGUCGUGAGACAGUUCGGUCCCUAUCUGCCGUGGGCGUUGGAAGAUUGAGAGGGGUUGCUCCUAGUACGAGAGGACCGGAGUGAACGCACCACUGGUGUACGGGUUGUGAUGCCAAUUGCAUUGCCCGGUAGCUAAGUGCGGAAGAGAUAACCGCUGAAAGCAUCUAAGCGGGAAACUUGCCUCGAGAUGAGUCUUCCCUGGACACUAGAUGUCCCUGAAGGGCCGUUGAAGACGACGACGUAGAUAGGCUGGGUGUGUAAGCGUAGCGAUACGUUGAGCUAACCAGUACUAAUGACCCGAGAGGCUUAACCUUACAACACCGAAGGUGUUU
RNAcentral lists this ribosomal RNA (1749 nucleotides) under Pectobacterium polonicum. Its description in RNAcentral is "partial 23S ribosomal RNA". It matches the Rfam family "Bacterial large subunit ribosomal RNA", at positions 1220 to 2925 of the family's 2925-position model. The record is from RNAcentral. Lineage: Bacteria; Pseudomonadati; Pseudomonadota; Gammaproteobacteria; Enterobacterales; Pectobacteriaceae.